Molecule: long non-coding RNA, 749 nt
Filed under: Marmota monax (woodchuck)
Lineage: Eukaryota; Metazoa; Chordata; Mammalia; Rodentia; Sciuridae
Source: RNAcentral
AACCAACAGUAGCAACUCAUAGUAAUGAGUACCUUUUUUUUUUUUUGUACAGGGGAUAGAACCUAGAGGCGCUUAAUCAUUGAGCUACAUCUCCAGCCCUUUUUACUUUUUAUUUUUUUGAGACAGAGUCUCACUAAGUUGCUUAGGGCUCUGCUAAAUUGAUGAAGCUGGCUUUGAACUCACUUUCCUCCUCCCUUAGCCUCCCAAGUCGAUGGGAUUACAGGUAUACACCAGCAGUACUUGUUAUGUGAGAAAACCUAAUGCUUUAUUUGUGAAGCUGCUGCUCUGGUAAGGUUUUCUAUUACCUGAACAUAUCCUUAACCAGCAUUAUAUAAUUUAAAGAGACAAUAGUAUAAUGUAGAUGGAAACAAAGGGCUGGAUAACUUAUGGACAAAAUAAAUGAAAGAACUAGCUUUCAAGCACAGGACAAAAAGCAGGUUUGCGAAGUGUUCUAAAAAAAAAAAGGGACAAAGAGAUAAAAGGAGAAAUCAGAAAAGCAGUGUCACAGAAUACCCAGGUUUCAAGAAGGAUAUGAUCAAUAAUAGCAUCAGAUGCUACUGAAUUUAAGACAAAAACUUAAAAGCCCAAUGACUAAUGGAAGUCAGAUUGUGGUGUGUUAGGAGCAAAUGGAAUAGGGGAGUAAAUGGAAGUUGUGAGUGCAGAGAACUCUUUUAAGAAGGGGAAAGGAGGAAUGUGAACUUUUUCAUAUUAUUAGAAUAAUAACUCCAAGUAGGAAUUUUAAAAAAAAU